This 522-nucleotide ribosomal RNA is filed under the name Geobacillus sp. RNAcentral describes it as "bacterial SSU rRNA". It matches the Rfam family "Bacterial small subunit ribosomal RNA", at positions 39 to 525 of the family's 1533-position model. The record is from RNAcentral. Lineage: Bacteria; Bacillati; Bacillota; Bacilli; Caryophanales; Anoxybacillaceae.
GCUGACGCUGCACGGCGUGCCUAUACAUGCAGCCGAGGCGGAACCGGAAUGAGGGGUUGCUCUGGUUCGGCCAGCAGGCGAGACGGGUGAGUACACACGUGGGCAACCUGCCCGCAAGACCGGGAUAACUCCGGGAAACCGGAGCUAAUACCGGAUAACACCGAAGACCGCAUGGUCUUCGGUUGAAAGGCGGCCUUUGGGCUGUCACUUGCGGAUGGGCCCGCGGCGCAUUAGCUAGUUGGUGAGGUAACGGCUCACCAAGGCGACGAUGCGUAGCCGGCCUGAGAGGGUGACCGGCCACACUGGGACUGAGACACGGCCCAGACUCCUACGGGAGGCAGCAGUAGGGAAUCUUCCGCAUGGGCGAAAGCCUGACGGAGCGACGCCGCGUGAGCGAAGAAGGCCUUCGGGUCGUAAAGCUCUGUUGUGAGGGACGAAGGAGCGCCGUUUGAAGAGGGCGGCGCGGUGACGGUACCUCACGAGAAAGCCCCGGCUAACUACGUGCCAGCAGCCGCGGUAAUA